Molecule: ribosomal RNA, 409 nt
Filed under: bacterium
Lineage: Bacteria
Description: partial 16S ribosomal RNA
Rfam family: Bacterial small subunit ribosomal RNA
Source: RNAcentral
UGGGGAAUAUUGCACAAUGGGCGAAAGCCUGAUGCAGCGACGCCGCGUGAGGGAUGACGGCCUUCGGGUUGUAAACCUCUUUCAGUAGGGACGAAGCGCAAGUGACGGUACCUGCAGAAGAAGCACCGGCUAACUACGUGCCAGCAGCCGCGGUAAUACGUAGGGUGCGAGCGUUGUCCGGAAUUACUGGGCGUAAAGAGCUCGUAGGCGGUUUGUCACGUCGUCUGUGAAAUCCUAGGGCUUAACCCUGGACGUGCAGGCGAUACGGGCUGACUUGAGUACUACAGGGGAGACUGGAAUUUCUGGUGUAGCGGUGGAAUGCACAGAUAUCAGGAAGACCACCGAUGGCGAAGGCAGGUCUCUGGGUAGUAACUGACGCUGAGGAGCGAAAGCAUGGGUAGCGAACAGG